AAGUCGUAACAAGGUUUCCGUAGGUGAACCUGCGGAAGGAUCAUUAACACGUAUCCAACGUUAAACCCCCCGUGCACACAGCGACCUGCUCCCCUCAAUUUCGGUCUUUUGGCAAUCCCUGGUAAAUCAUCGCCGAACAGUUUUGAUUCAGGGAUCUCUGCGAAGAGAGCGGUUGUAGCGCGAGGUAAGUGGCCUGGCAUUCCUCUGCUUGUUAGUGUCUGACAGUGUCACUAGCUCUGUACGAAUGGCGCAGUCACGAUCGCUAGAGGCCGACACGGCCGGCGACCGGGUCACCGGGCAUAGACCCCCCUAUCACCUUUGCAUGAAAACGGGCCUGCGCUUAAUUGUGCGGCCACCAAACUCGAACAACUGUUAACAAUGGAUAUCUUGGUUCUC
This 396-nucleotide unclassified non-coding RNA is filed under the name fungal sp. Its description in RNAcentral is "partial internal transcribed spacer region". The stretch from base 1 to 46 matches the Rfam family "Eukaryotic small subunit ribosomal RNA", at positions 1786 to 1831 of the family's 1831-position model. Lineage: Eukaryota; Fungi. The record is from RNAcentral.